Molecule: non-coding RNA, 30 nt
Filed under: Rattus norvegicus (Norway rat)
Lineage: Eukaryota; Metazoa; Chordata; Mammalia; Rodentia; Muridae
Source: RNAcentral
UGCAGUCUCAAAACAGAUUUUGUGGGACUC